This is a long non-coding RNA of Ornithodoros turicata, 497 nucleotides long. RefSeq lists it as uncharacterized. The transcript has 3 exons. The record is from RefSeq and is a predicted model, not a curated record. NCBI's taxonomy places the organism in Eukaryota, Metazoa, Arthropoda, Arachnida, Ixodida, Argasidae.
CUGGAUAAAUACUCACAGGAAGUUCACGAAAUUAGGUGCCUGAAGCACUGAAGCGGAGUAUCGUGCGAUAGCACUCACCAUGGCCACGGCGAUUUACAUCAUGGUUCUACUGGGUGUUGCAGUAGUAGUUGCUGCGGACUACGACCACCCGUGGGAUGGAGGCAAGCACUCGAACUGCGACAUGGAACGUACUGAGGAGGUAUGUGGUCCCAGUACCGGAUCACAUUGGCCUGAACUUUGGAUAUACCAGCGACACCGGGAAACUUGCGACAGAAAAAAAGUAUGCCCUGCCUUGCUCUCAUUCGCUUUCAAGAGAUUUCAGGACUGCCGUGAUGAGCAUAAACGCUGCGAGAAAUGGAAGUCCUGUCGUAGAAAGCUUGAAGAAGAAGAAGAACGACGGAGGCGUAAUGAAUACCACUAUGUUCAGUGAGCUUUGGAAGAACCGUUUCCGCGGUAUGCAACAUGUGAAAAUAAUAAACAGUAUAGUGUCUUGCUCA